UAGGGAAUCUUCCGCAAUGGGCGAAAGCCUGACGGAGCAACGCCGCGUGAGUGAAGAAGGAUUUCGGUUCGUAAAGCUCUGUUGUUAGGGAAGAAUGAUUGUGUAGUAACUAUACACAGUAGAGACGGUACCUAACCAGAAAGCCACGGCUAACUACGUGCCAACAGCCGCGGUAAUACGUAGGUGGCAAGCGUUGUCCGGAAUUAUUGGGCGUAAAGCGCGCGCAGGUGGUUUAAUAAGUCUGACGUGAAAGCCCACGGCUCAACCGUGGAGGGUCAUUGGAAACUGUUAAACUUGAGUGCAGGAGAGAAAAGUGGAAUUCCUAGUGUAGCGGUGAAAUGCGUAGAGAUUAGGAGGAACACCAGUGGCGAAGGCGGCUUUUUGGCCUGUAACUGACACUGAGGCGCGAAAGCGUGGGGAGCAAACAGGAUUAGAUACCCUGGUAGUCCACGCCGUAAACGAUGAGUGCUAAGUGUUGGUCUCAUAAGAGAUCAGUGCUGCAGCUAACGCAUUAAGCACUCCGCCUGGGGAGUACGACCGCAAGGUUG
RNAcentral lists this ribosomal RNA (548 nucleotides) under uncultured bacterium. Its description in RNAcentral is "bacterial SSU rRNA". It matches the Rfam family "Bacterial small subunit ribosomal RNA", at positions 355 to 896 of the family's 1533-position model. The record is from RNAcentral.